RNAcentral lists this ribosomal RNA (234 nucleotides) under uncultured bacterium. RNAcentral describes it as "partial 16S ribosomal RNA". It matches the Rfam family "Bacterial small subunit ribosomal RNA", at positions 118 to 347 of the family's 1533-position model. The record is from RNAcentral.
UGAGCAAUCUGCCCUUCUCAUCGGAAUAAGCGUUGGAAACGACGUCUAAUGCCGAAUACGACCUCCUUUCGCAUGAUCGGAGGUGGAAAGCUCCGGCGGAGAAGGAUGAGCUCGCGGCCUAUCAGCUAGUUGGUGUGGGUAAUGGCCCACCAAGGCGACGACGGGUAGCCGGCCUGAGAGGGUGACCGACCACACUGGGACUGAGACACGGCCCAGACCUCCGUACGGGAGCAG